Oncorhynchus masou masou (cherry salmon) is the source of this 5369-nucleotide long non-coding RNA. RefSeq lists it as uncharacterized. NCBI's taxonomy places the organism in Eukaryota, Metazoa, Chordata, Actinopteri, Salmoniformes, Salmonidae. The transcript is spliced from 2 exons. The record is from RefSeq and is a predicted model, not a curated record.
UGUGUUGAAGGACUGUGGAUAUUAUAAUGUCCUCAUCAGAGAGGACUGUGUCUGUGUUGAAGGACUGUGGAUAUUAUAAUGUCCUCAUCAGGGAGGACUGUGUCUGUGUUGAAGGACUGUGGAUAUUAUAAUGUCCUCAUCAGAGAGGACUGUGUCUGUGUUGAAGGACUGUGGAUAUUAUAAUGUCCUCAUCAGAGAGGACUGUGGAUAUUAUAAUGUCCUCAUCAGAGAGGACUGUGGAUAUUAUAAUGUCCUCAUCAGAGAGGACUGUGGAUAUUAUAAUGUCCUCAUCAGAGAGGACUGUGUCUGUGUUGAAGGACUGAUCUAGGGUCAGGCUGGGUAGGUAGGUAGGGGCUGGUAGGUCGAUGAGGUGCUUACUACAUGGGCAUGACUGCAUAUACUUGAAUAGAAGGUGUUCUUCAGAGCCUGGGGUUGUCUCAGUAAUACUGAAUAGUUCUUCAGAGUCUGGGGUUGUCUCAGUAAUUCUGACUAGAAGGUGAUCUUCAGAGCCUGGGGUUGUCUCAGUAAUUCUGACUAGAAGGUGAUCUUCAGAGCCUGGGGUUGUCUCAGUAAUUCUGAAUAGAAGUUGUUUUUCAGAGCCUGGGAUUGUCUCAGUAAUUCUGACGAGAAGGUGAUCUUCAGAGCCUGGGGUUGUCUCAGUAGUUCUGACUAGAAGGUGAUCUUCAGAGCCUGGGGUUGUCUCAGUAAUUCUGAAUAGUUCUUCAGAGCCUGGGGUUGUCUCAGUAAUUCUGAAUAGUUCUUCAGAGCCUGGGGUUGUCUCAGUAAUACUGACUAGAAGGUGUUCUUCAGAGCCUGGGGUUGUCUCAGUAAUACUGAAUAGUUCUUCAGAGCCUGGGGUUGUCUCAGUAAUACUGAAUAGUUCUUCAGAGCCUGGGGUUGUCUCAGUAAUACUGACUAGAAGGUGUUCUUCAGAGCCUGGGGUUGUCUCAGUAAUACUGACUAGAAGGUGAUCUUCAGAGCCUGGGGUUGUCUCAGUAAUACUGAAUAGAAGGUGAUCUUCAGAGCCUGGGGUUGUCUCAGUAAUACUGACUAGAAGGUGUUCUUCAGAGCCUGGGGUGUCUCAGUAAUACUGACUAGAAGGUGAUCUUCAGAGCCUGGGGUUGUCUCAGUAAUUCUGACUAGAAGGUGUUCUUCAGAGCCUGGGGUUGUCUCAGUAAUACUGAAUAGAUCUUCAGAGCCUGGGGUUGUCUCAGUAAUACUGAAUAGUUCUUCAGAGCCUGGGGUUGUCUCAGUAAUACUGAAUAGAUCUUCAGAGCCUGGGGUUGUCUCAGUAGUUCUGACUAGAAGGUGAUCUUCAGAGCCUGGGGUUGUCUCAGUAAUUCUGACUAGAAGUUGUUCUUCGGAGCCUGGGGUUGUCUCAGUAAUACUGAAUAGUUCUUCAGAGCCUGGGGUUGUCUCAGUAAUACUGACUAGAAGGUGAUCUUCAGAGCCUGGGGUUGUCUCAGUAAUACUGACUAGAAGGUGAUCUUCAGAGCCUGGGGUUGUCUCAGUAAUUCUGAAUAGAAGGUGUUCUUCAGAGCCUGGGGUUGUCUCAGUAAUACUGAAUAGAAGUUGUUCUUCGGAGCCUGGGGUUGUCUCAGUAAUACUGAAUAGUUCUUCAGAGCCUGGGGUUGUCUCAGUAAUACUGACUAGAAGGUGAUCUUCAGAGCCUGGGGUUGUCUCAGUAAUACUGACUAGAAGGUGAUCUUCAGAGCCUGGGGUUGUCUCAGUAAUUCUGAAUAGAAGGUGUUCUUCAGAGCCUGGGGUUGUCUCAGUAAUACUGAAUAGUUCUUCAGAGCCUGGGGUUGUCUCAGUAAUUCUGAAUAGUUCUUCAGAGCCUGGGGUGGUCUCAGUAAUACUGAAUAGAAGGUGUUCUUCAGAGCCUGGGGUUGUCUCAGUAAUUCUGAAUAGUUCUUCAGAGCCUGGGGUUGUCUCAGUAAUACUGAAUAGAAGGUGUUCUUCAGAGCCUGGGGUUGUCUCAGUAAUUCUGACUAGAAGGUGUUCUUCAGAGCCUGGGGUUGUCUCAGUAAUACUGAAUAGUUCUUCAGAGCCUGGGGUUGUCUCAGUAAUACUGAAUAGUUCUUCAGAGCCUGGGGUUGUCUCAGUAAUACUGAAUAGUUCUUCAGAGCCUGGGGUUGUCUCAGUAAUACUGAAUAGAAGGUGAUCUUCAGAGCCUGGGGUUGUCUCAGUAAUACUGAAUAGUUCUUCAGAGCCCGGGUGGUCUCAGUAAUACUCCGGGUUGUAGUGAAAGACAGUUAGUGUUAUAACACGUGGUUAUAAAGCACUCUGGUUAAUCAGGACUUAAGGUGGACUCAUGUAGCUUUUUGAAUUGCUUAGUUUCUACCAUGUUGACUGUUGCAACUGUAGAGUAGCAGUUUUAUUGUUCCUUCAAUCGUUUCUUUAAUCAUAUUUUCAGUCGUGAACCCGAUACGUGUCUCUGGCCAGAGUGUAAAUCCCUAAAACGCUUGUUCCCUUUUGCACAGCCAAAAAAAGUGUUCCCAUAUCCCCCUUGCUUUAUGUGGAAGGCAAGCUGUAAAACAGAUUCCUAAACCUAGUAAUGAACAUUUUCCCCAAAUGUGUUGAACCUUCAGAUUUUAUAAAGUAUUUGACAAAGGUUUUUAUUAGUUAACCGUAAAUCAGACUUCUUCAAAGAUUUGUCAAAGUUGUACUUAUUUAUUUUACAUAAAACAAUAUUGUCAAAAUAAAAGAGGCAAUCUAAAAGAUAUUCAACUGAACUUAGGGCUGAAUAGAACAGAAUGUUGUGUUGUGGUCUCGUCGUCGGUUGGUCGGUCGGUAACCAUGGAGCCACUUAUGACCUAAUGCACAAGAACUAUACUAUGGGAUCCUAUCAGACUGUCACUGUGUGGACACGGAGCAGAAGACUCUGUUUGAUUGGACUUCAGAACAGGUGUGGCUGGCUGGGGAUUGGAUGGACGACCUGGUGACCUCAUCGGGUCAGGGAGUGGAGCCCCGGCCUGCCCCGCUGAUGAUUGGUUCAGUGCCUGCCAGGGCCAGCUGCACACUGCUCAGUAGCCCCGCCCCCUUUGGAACCCAUUGCCACCUGCUGAUUGGAGAACAUCAGCGGGGAGGGGCAGGACAGGGGGGCGGGGUCACAACGUUCUUUUGACUUUUUUAUUGUAGUUGUUUUGUGGAUUUGAUAGUCGGGAGGAAUCGUGCCCUUAGGUCGAAUACAAUGUGCCUUUGGUUAUUAAUGCCAUUCAUUUAGUAGCCCGAGACCAGUAACAUAAUGACUUCAUCCCCCUACAUACACCGACCUACAGCACAGCUCCCCUGAACAUACAUCCAUUUCACAGAUGUUUGAAAUGUUUACAGUCAUUUUCAUGGAUGUUUUCUUCAAGCCCAAAGACAGUCUUCCUGGCUUAACCUCUGAUGUGGUAGCGAGGAGAAAGCCAAGCGGCCGCACAAUGACAGGUAUUACAUGGGCUGCAUCCACAAUGGCACCCUAUUCCCUAUACAGUGCACUACUUUUGAUAGGGCUCUGGUCAAAAGUAGUGCACUAUAUAGGGAAUAGGGUGCCAUUUCGGGGAAACAGCCGUGCAGUUUCGAGACAGAGCGUCAGAUCUUUUGGGAUGACUAACUCUCACCUGGAAACACCCUUUGCCAACAGGGAAACGCUUGGUAAGAAGCAAUCACCUUAUGCUCUGAAAGGGUUCGGGAACUGACAGCCUCUGUCUUGUCUUCACAUCAAAACACUUCAAGGGGUUGUAGCUAUUAUCUUUUAUUUUAUUACUCCCGAAGAGAAGGACAAAAAUACAUUUGAAUCUUUACCUCAGACUGUUGUGAUAGAUAUAUCUUCUUAUUGUGAUUUGAAUAACCCAGGGCAUUUGGUUACAUACCAAAGUGCAUUCCUUUCUACGUUUGUGGCUAUGAGGAAAUGAAGCCAGUGGAUUUUGUCUCUUAUUUUUCUGAGUAAAAAAUAAAUAAGGCACUCAAACCACUUUUGGUCAUUCAAGGGCCAUAUCUAUCUAUAUCUAUCUAUCUAUCUAUCUGGAGAAUGCUUGUCUUCAGCUGAGAAGGAAGUAGGGAGAUGGAGUACAGUGUUUAUUUUAUUACACCACUGUCUGAACGGCGUAGCACAACUCCAAACCUCUGUGUGCUCGACACGGUUGGAUGUAGCUUCUUUUCAGUGCAGUGUCAACUGUCCUAUCACAAUCUGCAGUCUAUAGUCGGUGUGUCAGUCAGCCCAAUGUGCUACUCCACGGUAAGGUAACAUAGCUGUGGCAGAAUCAAGCAUUUGGCUAUAUUGUAAAUGUUUUGAAAAUGAAUUUUUUUUAAAUACUUUUUUUUGCUACUUGUAAGAAUUUUAACUCUUGACUAUCUCGAGAGUUCUACUACACAACUUUUAGAAGACAGUCUCUAGUUCUACUACACAACUUUUAGAAGACUGUCUCGAGAGUUCUACUACACAACUUUUAGAAGACUGUCUCGAGAGUUCUACUACACAACUUUUAGAAGACUGUCUCGAGAGUUCUACUACACAACUUUUAGAAGACAGUCUCUAGUUCUACUACACAACUUUUAGAAGACUGUCUCUUCUACUACACAACUUUUAGAAGACUGUCUCUAGUUCUACUACACAACUUUUAGAAGACAGUCUCUAGUUCUACUACACAACUUUUAGAAGACAGUCUCUAGUUCUACUACACAACUUUUAGAAGACUGUCUCGAGAGUUCUACUACACAACUUUUAGAAGACUGUCUCGAGAGUUCUACUACACAACUUUUAGAAGACUGUCUCGAGAGUUCUACUACACAACUUUUAGAAGACAGUCUCUAGUUCUACUACACAACUUUUAGAAGACUGUCUCGAGAGUUCUACUACACAACUUUUAGAAGACUGUCUCGAGAGUUCUACUACACAACUUUUAGAAGACUGUCUCGAGAGUUCUACUACACAACUUUUAGAAGACUGUCUCGAGAGUUCUACUACACAACUUUUAGAAGACAGUCUCUAGUUCUACUACACAACUUUUAGAAGACUGUUUCGAGAGUUCUACUACACAACUUUUAGAAGGAAGUAAGAAAACAGAAUCUUGAACCGAGCAACAACGUUGAUAGAUGUUAGUACUCUUUACCACAGCCACGUACGCUGUACAUAUGUGAAAUUUGCGAUGGAUUCAAUGUGGAUUUGUACAUAUGUAUAAUGUUUUUGUCUUUGGUGAAAUGCUGCUGGAAGCACUACAUGAAUGUUGUAGUGGGUUUUAAGCUUGGUCAGUUUUACUAUAGUGUAUGUAAUGUACAGCUAAUGGAAGGUCACUCUUUUUUUAGUGAUUAUUUGUUAAAUUUUAUUGUUGUGGCCAGGAAAAUGUUAUUAAAUAAAAAAAAGUUUUAAUGUCCAUCUUUAUAAA